CGCUCGCCGGAAGACCAAGGGUUCCUGUCCAACGUUAAUCGGGGCAGGGUGAGUCGACCCCUAAGGCGAGGCCGAAAGGCGUAGUCGAUGGGAAACAGGUUAAUAUUCCUGUACUUGGUGUUACUGCGAAGGGGGGACGGAGAAGGCUAUGUUGGCCGGGCGACGGUUGUCCCGGUUUAAGCGUGUAGGCUGGUUUUCCAGGCAAAUCCGGAAAAUCAAGGCUGAGGCGUGAUGACGAGGCACUACGGUGCUGAAGCAACAAAUGCCCUGCUUCCAGGAAAAGCCUCUAAGCAUCAGGUAACAUCAAAUCGUACCCCAAACCGACACAGGUGGUCAGGUAGA
Molecule: ribosomal RNA, 342 nt
Filed under: Escherichia coli
Lineage: Bacteria; Pseudomonadati; Pseudomonadota; Gammaproteobacteria; Enterobacterales; Enterobacteriaceae
Description: partial 23S ribosomal RNA
Rfam family: Bacterial large subunit ribosomal RNA
Source: RNAcentral